UCUUCCCCUAAAAAUAUACAGAGGAACGCAUAAAGUGUGGCUCCAGCACUCACGCUCACUAGACCACUCGGAUAUCCUGCUGCUGACUGCCAUGUUCACUCAUCCCCUGCUGGGCAGCCGAGCAGCGAAACCCCGGCCUCCGCACUCCACCGCAACCCGCAACCCUGAGAGGAACCCAGCAACCGAGUGUCGUUUUCUCUGCACAGCCAGACACGCUGCAAAAACACUAAACCUUACCCGGGAUCAUCGGUCCAGUUUAGUGCAGAAAUCAGUUUAAAUAAGACCAAACUAAAUUACAGAGAACCUCAGCAAGAUAUAGGAGCUGGUUUUAAUUCCUUAAUAUUGAUUAAAAAAAAUUUCUAGUUCCACUGGCUCAUUAUGUCACCUGUAACAUGUUAAAUUUUUCCCUUGUUUUAAGUGAAAUAAUCUGCCAGUGGAACUAAAACUUUUUCAUCAAUAUUAAAAAUCUGACUUGCUGAAAAGCUACUUGUAAGUUAGUUUGGUCUUAUUUCGACUCUACUAAAAGCGUUUUCCAAAGUGGAGCCUCAGAAAGUAAAAAAAAAAAAAUUUAACCAGAUUUUCAAUUGCAUAGAUUUUUUUAUCAUAUAAUCUGUUACUUAUUAUCAAACUUAAGUUAAAUUAACUUAUUGAAAUGUUAUUUGUCGUGCUCGUCUUUCUGAUAGCAGUGCUUCGAUUGCAGUUUCCUGGAUGAUAGACGAUCUUUAAGAAGCUCGAACUGCUGAUUCAGAUUUUGGCCGAUAUAAACGUUUUGGCCACCGAUCUCCCAAAAUUUUGAAAAUUGGGCCCAUUUAUCUGGUACACCGUCCUUUCUGAAUGGCUGCCAGUCAAAUUUAAGCUGCUUUGCUCCUCAAGCUAGUGUAGCAAGCACCCAUGGAAACGUUUCUGACAGGAAAGGGGCAGAAGGAACCGUCCAGCAGCCACACCGCAGUGGAAAACCCCAAGAAUUCAUGACCAGCUAAAAGCAGAGGCAGCAUUUAUGUUAAACAAAUGCAAUAAUUAUAAAAUUGAGAAUGAAAGAGAAAAAAAAUGUCUAAAAAACUAAAAAUACUUGGUAAAACUAGCUGUUCGCAAAUCUUUGUCAAUAUUCUGCUAAUGUCAAAAGAACACAUUUUUGCAAUUACUGUUUAAAAUCAUGCGUGAAUAAGCUUGUUGUAAACAGGUAAUGAGACGUAUUCAUAAUUGAGCCGUGGCGCUAACGCUCAUCUUUCAGCCAAUCAGAGGAGACAUUGGUGUCUUAGUCAGUGACAAGCCCCGCCCACAGGGCGUGGCUACGUAUGCAGCGUUUUAGGGGUGAUUUUACAGAUGAGCUAUAGAAUCAUCACGCUGGAAUAAUACAUAACUUUUCAUGAACUGUGAUGAUGUGAGCUGCACCUUGACUGAAAACCCCAAAACAAACCAUCAUCCUCCUACUACUUCCUGUCGUCUUCUUUGUUGUUUCCGUCAGCACUAACAUCUGGUUGUGGAUCACAUGACUCGCGUGAUGCUAAAAGCGUGUUUUGAUAUGCCUGAAAAAACUUAAUUGAAAAACGUGUUUGUUUUUUUAACAUUUCCAUUGAACAAAUUUAUUUCAAGUUGCUCCAUUUUAUGGUUAAUGGCAACGCAGCUGGUGUGUGUUUUUGCAGUGCAUGUUAAACUGUUCUGUCUACGUCUGACAUCGUGAAGAUGAGAAACAAUAAGAGCAAUUAAAAUAUUCUCUAAAACUGGAGCAGUAUCCUCUGCAGAGAGCAGCACUCUCCUUCCAGUAAGGACAUGUGAGGAUUUAUAGCUUCAGCUAAAUCCCCAAAGGGGGGGGACUAAAGGUAUAGAUAGCAGAGAAGAGUCGUUCUACUCAAAUAUGAGAAGCACUUUGGUUUCCAGCUGCAAAGUCUGCUAAUCCACUUAUUCAUGAGCUAAUCUGCCUUCUGCCGCUGCGGCAGGCGGCGAGGAGGAUAGACCGAGCGAGUGUGGGUGAAAGGAGGGAUGAGAGAGGUGCAGCACGCCUGAACUGUGUGGGGUUUCCAGGCAAGACAUGCUUCCAGUCAACAGCUGGUGAUUCACGCAAAGAAUGAGUCAGGCUCUUAUCUCUCUGACGUGACUAACAGAAAGACCAUCGACUUCUCCUAGGAAAGCUAGAGCAGCAGCUGAUGCUGCGGCUGGGUCGCUCUCAGAGCAGCGGGUCGGCAGCGGAGCGGCGGCGGCACAAAGCAGGGGGCGCUGUCGAUGUCCGAGGGGAGGCAGGUAAACACCACAAAGCACUUCGGUGGUGGAGUGAAGGUGAGUGCCGGAGCCACACUUUUAAUAAAAGCUGGUGCUCUCUCUCAGAAAAAAUAUCACACGUCACAUUCACACACACAAACACACACACGAGGACAGCUUUGGAUACACACUCCUAAAGUGCUAAAGUUUGAAAUCACAUUUAAACUCUUUACUGUUCGACUCCAAGCUGUCAGGUUUUCUUGAACAAUUGUUCUCCAGGAUUUCUGAAAGUCUUUUUUAAAGGUUUUCUUUGGACUUGGGCAGCUUCUUACUCCAGUGUUCAGCACUCCAUUUUUAAAGGAAGACUCAUUUUCGCUAAACCGCAAAACUUAUAGAUAACUUUUCCUUUAGCAUUUGUUGCUAACUUUAAAAGGCUCGGCUAAUUCAGCAUAUAUUUCAACAUUUUGUAUGAAACUACACACGUCUGGAAUAACAGCGCAUAACGUUCAGGUCAGUUAAAUUGUUGCUCGAGGGUCGGAGUCUUUCAAGAAUAUACAAUCUGAAUUUAAGCUGUUAGCGCUUUAGCAUUAGCUUCCAUUAAAUACCAUGUUGAUUUAGCACUUUACCAUGAGCAGAACUAAUGAUUGUUGUUAGAACUUCAGGAUUAGCGCAACUAACUAUUUAGUUAAUAUAAUACACUUUAUUUAAAAGGAACAAUAUGGCGCUCAAAUAUAAAAGCCAUUUGAGGUGCCACACCAGAUUAUAGAAUAAGCUAAUUUGUUGGUGCCCAUCCCUGCUCCUUUUUAUGUGCUCCACUUGUCUCAAAAUGUCACAGAAAGCUGUUAACAGACUUUCUCAAACCUCGGAGAGCUAUUGACCAAGGAGGUUUGGCUGCCUGAAUACAACAAACUCCUCAAUACUUCUGAACUGUUGUCAACAGGUGCAGUCGCAAAGCAUACAGGUGUAAACGCUCUGCAAAGCACUUGAAUGAACCAAACUCCCAAAAAAACAGAAAUACACAUACAACAGAAAACACCUAGUGGUCUGGAGGACCUGUGUUUUUGUGGAGCUAUUUGCAGCAUUGUCUGUUUGGUUGCAGCAUUUUUCCAUUUUUGUAUUUGUGCGUUUUGGAGUUUGCAUCAUUCAUGAGUUUGCAGGCAUUUUGCUGCACAUUUGUUCCUCUCGGCUACUGUACUUUUGAAUAGGAGAAUAUUCUAAAAACCUCUGUACGUCCUAAACCUUUCUGAUUGCGCGCAUUCAGAAACACAAUGCGCAGCUGGGGGGAGCAGAGGUGAACUCUGGGAGGAACAAUCCGGCCUCCUCGGCUCGCUCUGACAGCUGCUUUUAUAUCUGAAGCUCUACGCCGAUGCGGCACAUCAAAGACCAGCAUCACCAUUACAAGGCAAUUUUCACUCUCAGUGACAAUAAUAAUCACCGUGAUCCUAACAUCCAUCUCUGUGUGGAUGGCACCAUAACAGUGUUAUGAAUUACACAUUAUGCAGAAACAAAGGCUCCGCAGACGGGCCCCAUUAACACGGAGAAGGCUCCUGUGAAUUAAUGUGCGCCUUU
Poecilia latipinna (sailfin molly) is the source of this 3765-nucleotide long non-coding RNA. RefSeq lists it as uncharacterized. The record is from RefSeq and is a predicted model, not a curated record. Lineage: Eukaryota; Metazoa; Chordata; Actinopteri; Cyprinodontiformes; Poeciliidae. The transcript is spliced from 2 exons.